CAAGGUUCCCGUAGGGUGAACCUGCGGAAGGAUCAUUAUUGUAUAAUGGAGGCACUGAGGCUGUCGCUGACUUUUGAAAGGGUCGUGCACGCCUUUGGUGUUCUCGCACAUAAUCCAUCUCACCCCUUUGUGCAUCACCGCGUGGAGGUCCCCUUUUGGCUAGUUCUGAGGGGGGCUUUCAUGUUUUUACACACACACUUUUUUUAAUACAAUGUGUAUGAAUGCCUUACUUUUUGCGAUGAUACGCAAUCAAUAUAACUUUCAACAACGGAUCUCUUGGCUCUCGCAUCGAUGAAGAACGCAGCGAAAUGCGAUACGUAAUGUGAAUUGCAGAAUUCAGUGAAUCAUCGAAUCUUUGAACGCACCUUGCGCCCUUUGGUAUUCCGAGGGGCACACCCGUUUGAGUGUCGUGAUAUUCUCAAACCUUCUUGGUUUCUUGACCAGGAAGGCUUUGGACUUUGGAGGUUUUUGCUGUCCUUCUGUUGUUGAAGUCAGCUCCUCUGAAAUGAAUUAGUGGGGUCCACUUUGCUGAUCCUUGACGUGAUAAGAUAUUUCUACGUCUUGGGGUUUUGCACUGUUUACUCUGGAUCCUGCUUCUAACUGUCUUAUAGAAGACAAUAGSUUGAGUGAUUUGCCAACUUGAACA
Molecule: ribosomal RNA, 646 nt
Filed under: uncultured Russula
Lineage: Eukaryota; Fungi; Basidiomycota; Agaricomycetes; Russulales; Russulaceae
Description: eukaryotic LSU rRNA
Rfam family: 5.8S ribosomal RNA (bases 257-410)
Source: RNAcentral